This 497-nucleotide ribosomal RNA is filed under the name uncultured bacterium. RNAcentral's name for it is "partial 16S ribosomal RNA". It matches the Rfam family "Bacterial small subunit ribosomal RNA", at positions 28 to 507 of the family's 1533-position model. The record is from RNAcentral.
GAUGAACGCUGGCGGCGUGCCUAAUACAUGCAAGUCGAGCGAACGGACGAGAAGCUUGCUCCUCUGAUGUUAGCGGCGGACGGGUGAGUAACACGUGGAUAACCUACCUAUAAGACUGGGAUAACUUCGGGAAAACGUAGAUAAUACCGGAUAAUAUUUUGAACCGCAUGGUUCAAAAGUGAAAGACGGUCUUGGUGUCACUUAUAGAUGGAGCCGCGCUGCAUUAGCUAGUUGGUAAGGUAACGGCUUACCAAGGCAACGAUGCAUAGCCGACCUGAGAGGGUGAUCGGCCACACUGGAACUGAGACACGGUCCAGACUCCUACGGGAGGCAGCAGUAGGGAAUCUUCCGCAAUGGGCGCAAGCCUGACGGAGCCACGCCGCGUGAGUGAUGAAGGUCUUCGGAUCGUAAAACUCUUUUAUUAGGGAAGAACAUAUGUGUAAGUAACUGUGCACGUCUUGACGGUACCUAAUCAGAAAGCCACGGCUAACUACGUG